CCUACGGGGGGCAGCAGUGGGGAAUAUUGGGCAAUGGGCGCAAGCCUGACCCAGCAACGCCGCGUGAAGGAAGAAGGCUUUCGGGUUGUAAACUUCUUUUGUCAGGGAAGAGUAGAAGACGGUACCUGACGAAUAAGCCACGGCUAACUACGUGCCAGCAGCCGCGGUAAUACGUAGGUGGCAAGCGUUGUCCGGAUUUACUGGGUGUAAAGGGCGUGUAGCCGGGUUGACAAGUCAGAUGUGAAAUCCUGCGGCUUAACCGCAGAACUGCAUUUGAAACUGUUGAUCUUGAGUACUGGAGAGGCAGACGGAAGUCCUAGUGUAGUGGUGAAAUGCGUAGAUAUUAGGAGGAACACCAGUGGCGAAGGCGGUCUGCUGGACAGCAACUGACGGUGAGGCGCGAAAGCGUGGGGAGCAAACAGGAUUAGAUACCCCAGUAGUC
This 442-nucleotide ribosomal RNA is filed under the name uncultured bacterium. Its description in RNAcentral is "partial 16S ribosomal RNA". It matches the Rfam family "Bacterial small subunit ribosomal RNA", at positions 338 to 795 of the family's 1533-position model. The record is from RNAcentral.